AACGAACGCUGGCGGCGUGGAUAAGACAUGCAAGUCGAACGAGAACUACGAAUAGCUUGCUAAUUGUAGUUCUAGUGGCGGACGGGUGCGUAACACGUGAGCCACCUACCCUGAAGUGGGGGAUAGCCCGGGGAAACCCGGAUUAAUACCGCAUGUGAUCUUCGGAUCAAAGACGGCUUCGGCUGUCGCUUCAGGAUGGGCUCGCGGCCUAUCAGCUUGUUGGUGAGGUAACGGCUCACCAAGGCAACGACGGGUAGCUGGUCUGAGAGGACGAUCAGCCACACUGGAACUGAGACACGGUCCAGACACCUACGGGUGGCAGCAGUCGAGAAUCAUUCACAAUGGGGGAAACCCUGGAUGGUGCAACGCCGCGUGGAGGAUGACGGCCCUCGGGUUGUAAACUCCUGUCAUCUGGGAGUAAGCCUUGUGCGUUAAUAGCGUGCAAGGUUGAUAGUACCAGAAGAGGAAGGGACGGCUAAC
RNAcentral lists this ribosomal RNA (480 nucleotides) under uncultured bacterium. RNAcentral's name for it is "bacterial SSU rRNA". It matches the Rfam family "Bacterial small subunit ribosomal RNA", at positions 29 to 501 of the family's 1533-position model. The record is from RNAcentral.